This 790-nucleotide ribosomal RNA is filed under the name Salinicola sp. R113. Its description in RNAcentral is "bacterial SSU rRNA". It matches the Rfam family "Bacterial small subunit ribosomal RNA", at positions 390 to 1173 of the family's 1533-position model. The record is from RNAcentral. Lineage: Bacteria; Pseudomonadati; Pseudomonadota; Gammaproteobacteria; Oceanospirillales; Halomonadaceae.
AGCCAUGCCGCGUGUGUGAAGAAGGCUUUCGGGUUGUAAAGCACUUUCAGCGAGGAAGAAGGCCUCUGGGUUAAUACCCCAGAGGAAGGACAUCACUCGCAGAAGAAGCACCGGCUAACUCCGUGCCAGCAGCCGCGGUAAUACGGAGGGUGCGAGCGUUAAUCGGAAUUACUGGGCGUAAAGCGCGCGUAGGUGGCUUGGCACGCCGGUUGUGAAAGCCCCGGGCUCAACCUGGGAACGGCAUCCGGAACGGCCAGGCUAGAGUGCAGGAGAGGAAGGUAGAAUUCCCGGUGUAGCGGUGAAAUGCGUAGAGAUCGGGAGGAAUACCAGUGGCGAAGGCGGCCUUCUGGCCUGACACUGACACUGAGGUGCGAAAGCGUGGGUAGCAAACAGGAUUAGAUACCCUGGUAGUCCACGCCGUAAACGAUGUCGACUAGCCGUUGGGACCUUUAAGGACUUAGUGGCGCAGUUAACGCGAUAAGUCGACCGCCUGGGGAGUACGGCCGCAAGGUUAAAACUCAAAUGAAUUGACGGGGGCCCGCACAAGCGGUGGAGCAUGUGGUUUAAUUCGAUGCAACGCGAAGAACCUUACCUACCCUUGACAUCCAGAGAACUUUCCAGAGAUGGAUUGGUGCCUUCGGGAACUCUGAGACAGGUGCUGCAUGGCUGUCGUCAGCUCGUGUUGUGAAAUGUUGGGUUAAGUCCCGUAACGAGCGCAACCCUUGUCCUUAUUUGCCAGCGAUUCGGUCGGGAACUCUAAGGAGACUGCCGGUGACAAACCGGAGGAAGG